RNAcentral lists this ribosomal RNA (497 nucleotides) under uncultured bacterium. Its description in RNAcentral is "partial 16S ribosomal RNA". It matches the Rfam family "Bacterial small subunit ribosomal RNA", at positions 28 to 507 of the family's 1533-position model. The record is from RNAcentral.
GAUGAACGCUGGCGGCGUGCCUAAUACAUGCAAGUCGAGCGAACAGACGAGGAGCUUGCUCCUUUGACGUUAGCGGCGGACGGGUGAGUAACACGUGGGUAACCUACCUAUAAGACUGGGAUAACUUCGGGAAACCGGAGCUAAUACCGGAUAAUAUUUCGAACCGCAUGGUUCGAUAGUGAAAGAUGGCUCUGCUAUCACUUAUAGAUGGACCUGCGCCGUAUUAGCUAGUUGGUAAGGUAACGGCUUACCAAGGCAACGAUACGUAGCCGACCUGAGAGGGUGAUCGGCCACACUGGAACUGAGACACGGUCCAGACUCCUACGGGAGGCAGCAGUAGGGAACCUUCCGCAAUGGGCGAAAGCCUGACGGAGCAACGCCGCGUGAGUGAUGAAGGUCUUCGGAUCGUAAAACUCUGUUAUUAGGGAAGAACAAACGUGUAAGUAACUGUGCACGUCUUGACGGUACCUAAUCAGAAAGCCACGGCUAACUACGUG